UAAAACCCUGUUGUCAAAAUUAGAUGCAGGCGUCAUGAAGUUGUUAAAGUUGUGGCUCGGGCUCGCGCUAACGGCUGAUUCGCCAGCUUUAUUCAGGGAUCGCAAUAAUUUUGGGAUGAGUCUAAAAAGGCCAUCGGAGCUUUAUAAACACCUAAGAGUUUCCAAGAGAUACAUCCUGAGGAAACCCAUGAUGAAGUCGUUACAUCGCUUCCAAAAGACAAAGAUGCCUCAGAGCUAGAGUCACGACUUCACUUGCAUCCCAUUAGCACUAAAAUGGAGCACCUUAAUUAAUGAUUGGUCGCUAGCAUUGCUAAAAUUUUAUCUCAAAGCGUUACAAAUAACUCUCAGAUCAGAGUAAUUUAGUAAGAUAGGUUAAAGGUACCGAAGAAAUUGCUAUAUCUGUAGGAAGGCAUUUGAAACUGGCAAGCAUUUGCUGUUGGGAUGUAAGGUACUCCUGGAUAGCGGUCGAUACUCGCGUCGUCACGAUAGGGUUCGAGAAAUCAUACGUGAAUCGGUUAGUCUUUCGGGAGCCAGAGCGCAAAGGGAAAUAACCACAAACGAACGAUCAGUACGUUUUGUGAGAGAAGCCAGUAGGGCUAUAAAAUCAAACGUCAAGUCUUACUCUAUUUUUAAAAUGGCUUCGGAUUGGACUAUAAUGAUGGAUAUGUGUGUCGUCCUCCAGACCAGACAUAUAUUUAUGUAUUCGCAAAUUUUAAAGCGCUUUGUGAUAAUAGAGCUGACGGUUCCUUGGGAAACCAACAAAUUGUUGAGGUCGUUUAAAAAGCUAUCCACUAUUCCUUCUAAAGAUGGAGUACGAUCUAUAUUAUCUAUCUUACGACCGAGAAAUUUAAAAGGAGCAUAUUCCGGAACCGUAGAAACGCUUUGACCGCCUAACGAUAAUCCGGGAUCGUAUGAGGCAUAUUUUGUAUUUCGCCUACUGAAACACAGACAGUGACAUUUAUUUGGUUUUGUCUUCAAUCCAUCCGUCCACUCACAGAAUUUAUCCACUUAAUACAAUAGUAGCUGACAGUAUUUGAGGUUACGUGUCAGUGUUGCGAGAUCGUCAGCGAAGGCUAAGAUGGGUUUUGUGUAUUUGUUAUUGAACUUGAACCGAUACCCCAAUUUUUUCUCGUUGUUUAGUAGUUUAUCUACCAAAAUAUUAAUUACAAUAUUAAAUAUUAUUGGAGACAAACAACAGCCCUGAUUUAGUCCUACAUUAUAUCUCAAAUCUUUGAAACACCUUCUUUUAAGUAGUUAGCUCGUAGUUAAAUUGAAAACUCAUUACAUUGCUAUUUGCCAUAGCUUACCACUCAACAUAUAGAAAAUAGUUGUAAAUAAAAAUUAUUAUAACAUAGAACGCCUACUUGUUAAAUAGUUUUUCCAAAUGCAAUACUUUAUAACUCUAGUGAUUUUAGUUGUGCCUGUUCAAGGACCUCAUGUUUCACGAUGAGUCUCUACCAUCUCAUAAUCAGUCUACUAGACGGGGACAGUCGUUGAACAGCCGUGAAGUUUUUGGGAUGUUAUCGAAGCAGUGCCUCUAAUGUAAAAAAAAGGGAAAAACGACCCUUUGUCCGUUAGUGGUUAUAGUGGAAUACAGGAAGGUCCUAAACAAUAUACAACUAGAGACAGGAAAUGUUGGGUGUGUAACGAAAUAUCCACGACAAAAUAUUGAAGAGUAAAAUUACUGCAGGCGAGUAGUAAGAGCCCGUAAUCCCGCUCCUUCACUCUCUCCAAAGACACAACAUACCCUGAGGUGGACGGAUGGCCCGACAACAUUCAUACCGCCCAAAAAAAACAUUCCACUUGUUCAAAGAAAAUAAAAAUAAAAUAUUUGGUCCAUUGAAAUAUUACAUUUUUCGGCUUUAAAGUAGAGGCAUGGAUUUGUUUUGGUGAUUUGUUGUUUGAGUUGGAGUAAGUUAGAAUGUAUGAGAUCUCCACGCUCGUCCCUCGAGGCUCACCUUCCCCCUGGAAAAAUAGGUAUUCAAGACUCCAGUCAUCUUUGGAGCGCGGUACAAGCCGGAUAGACUAAUACAAGUGAACGAAUUUAAAGAAAAAAUAAAAUAUAGCUUAAAAAUACUAAAAAACAUGCUUUUCUAAUUAAAGUAACUAAAAAGUAAAAAAUAAUCUUUAACAUUAACAAUAACAGUCAGCGGAAGAUAUUAGUAUACCAUAGAACCAUAUCUUUCAUACUGUUAAAGAUUAUUUUUUACUUUUUAGUUGCGUUAGUUAGAAAAGCAUGUUUUUUUAGUUUUUUAACUAUAUUUUAUUUUUUACUUUAUAGUUCAACCUGUCUUCACCGCGGAUGUGUCAAUCUUCCAGACGACGAAUGUUUGAUUUUACUAUCAAACAGCUUCAUUAAUUCUUAACCCAUUGACAUAAAGCUGUGUUUACAGAGUCGCGUCUCCAAUUCGUGUACGUUCUAAGGCUUUUUGUGUUGUUAGCAUAUACAG
Molecule: long non-coding RNA, 2450 nt
Organism: Danaus plexippus (monarch butterfly)
Lineage: Eukaryota; Metazoa; Arthropoda; Insecta; Lepidoptera; Nymphalidae
Exons: 3
Source: RefSeq, a predicted model, not a curated record